Molecule: long non-coding RNA, 377 nt
Filed under: Glycine max (soybean)
Lineage: Eukaryota; Viridiplantae; Streptophyta; Magnoliopsida; Fabales; Fabaceae
Description: long non-coding RNA (GMAX_LNC001477)
Source: RNAcentral
UUGGAUCUGUUGGUGGAGGACAAGGAAGUGUGCCAAAAAGAAAAUGGUCUUUGUUCUUGGAUUCAAGCGCCACAACCAUAUCACGUUCCCAUUGAUGAAAAUUGCUUUCUGUCAGUGGUGGCGAAACAAAACAACGACAAAAUGUUUUCCAGGAUGAAGAAAAUAUGGAUUGGCAAGAUUGACAAGAUGAUCAGAAGUUGAAUGUUGAUCGUUAACCACCAUGACCGAUCAAGAAAAGCAAUAAGAAUAAAAAAUGAAACUAAAUUUCAUAUGAACAUACACGGAAGGAUGAUGAACAAAGAAGGUUUCGUGUGUAAGGAUGAUACCAUGAAAGAAUAUGAAUUGAAUUUGGAGAAAAAAAAAGUUUCCGAAAAAUU